Molecule: unclassified non-coding RNA, 250 nt
Filed under: plant metagenome
Description: partial contains small subunit ribosomal RNA, internal transcribed spacer 1, and 5.8S ribosomal RNA
Source: RNAcentral
GUAGGUGAACCUGCGGAAGGAUCAUUACAACGUAUCCACGUAUCAACCAAAUGUGAACCUCCCAUCCAGAGCAAAACUUAGUGCGUCGUCAAUGGCCGAACUGUUAAAGUGGCGCUUUCACAGAUGGAGGUGUCUGGACCUAACCGUCUGGCCUCUGAAAGCGUCCGUUCUGUCGUCAGCUCUCAGAGUUGAGGCGUCCUUUUGCUCCAGAUGCGGUAUCAAUGUCCGCCCAUCUGCGGUCGAAUUGUUG